UGUUACUAACAUUUCAUCUCCAAUUGAUUUCUGGCGAUUUAAGCCACCAUUUGAGGCACCGUUUCUUCCUACUUAAGCUACAUUCUCUCCUCUUCAUUUCCCCUCACUCACCACAGACCGAGAGCCUCCAGGCUGCUCGAAUUUGAGCUCGAAAUUCCGCGGUACCAGCGAGUUUCCGGGACGAUUCCGCGACGGCGCCGUCUUCAUCUGCGAGCGCCGUCAGCCCUGAGUAGACGCAGACGCGGACGAGGAACACACCCACCUCUGCGAACACCGUCCGCUACUUCCCGCGCCGCGAAGACCUCUAGAGCAGCGACCUCGCCGACCACCGCAGCCUCAGCUUCGUCCACACCCUCGGUAACGCUCAACCUCAACGUCCUGCCACUGCCGAUCGUAUGGAGUGCAACGGGUGUGAUUGUGAGAAGUGUA
Lolium rigidum is the source of this 429-nucleotide long non-coding RNA. RefSeq lists it as uncharacterized. The transcript has 3 exons. Lineage: Eukaryota; Viridiplantae; Streptophyta; Magnoliopsida; Poales; Poaceae. The record is from RefSeq and is a predicted model, not a curated record.